RNAcentral lists this transfer RNA (72 nucleotides) under Camelus bactrianus (Bactrian camel). It matches the Rfam family "tRNA". From Rfam's summary of the family: Transfer RNA (tRNA) molecules are approximately 80 nucleotides in length. Their secondary structure includes four short double-helical elements and three loops (D, anti-codon, and T loops). Further hydrogen bonds mediate the characteristic L-shaped molecular structure. tRNAs have two regions of fundamental functional importance: the anti-codon, which is responsible for specific mRNA codon recognition, and the 3' end, to which the tRNAs corresponding amino acid is attached (by aminoacyl-tRNA synthetases). tRNAs cope with the degeneracy of the genetic code in two manners: having more than one tRNA (with a specific anti-codon) for a particular amino acid; and 'wobble' base-pairing, i.e. permitting non-standard base-pairing at the 3rd anti-codon position. RNAcentral also lists the same sequence under 2 other names. The record is from Rfam by way of RNAcentral. Lineage: Eukaryota; Metazoa; Chordata; Mammalia; Artiodactyla; Camelidae.
GAGGGUAUAGCUCAAUGGUAGAGUGUGUGCUUAGCAUGCAUGAGGUUCUGGGUUCAAUUCCCAAUACCUUAC